GCCCUUUAAUCAACCAGCCAAAGGUUAUCUUCUCAGGUUUGAAAUAAAAAUGAGAGCCAUGAUCGGCAGCAUGGCUACUCAGAGUCGAUGAAGGCAUGUUGAUUAUUUUCAUUUGCGGACAUGGUUGCCAAGCAGAACAUUGAUUGAUGGUGACCCACUCAACAUUUCGUUGCUCAACAUGAUGAUCGGAGGAGAGCCGAUUGCCAGCCCAUGAGUCCAUCUAUGCUGUCCAAACCAAAUCCUCACUCCUAGGAGGCUUCUCGAUUACAAAAGCACUUCGGCACUUGAAAAUGAAAAUUAAGUGGUGGGUUAUUACACUUUACACUCGGAGAAUAAAGUUGGAGGAGGUUUUAAACUGUGUCUAGAAUUUUGUCUCUCAAUCUCUCCCAAGUGCAUAACAUGUGGAAUCUGGAUUGUUUAUUGUAUAUGAGCUGAUAAUGGUUUGUGGUGAAAGCUGAAAGCUGAAAGCUCAUGUGGUAUAAUUUUCAAGAGCCCGUGACAGAGUGGGGGCGUCUGUUUUUGUUUUCCUGCUCUCUAGCCAUUAGCUUCCCCAAAAUGUGCUGAGUAUUUUCUACAUUAGGAUAUGCAUAUGUUCUUUGAAUUUAGCUGAACAUAUUCCUAAAUUUAUUUAAGAUCUUAAGCAAAAGGGCGUCAUAGAGACAUCUUAGAUGUAUAUAAUAUCUAUCUCUUUCGUUCUUUCCAUAAGAAACCCUGAGCUGUAGUAGAGUUGGAAUGCAACACUGAGCUCCU
RNAcentral lists this long non-coding RNA (750 nucleotides) under Populus trichocarpa (black cottonwood). Its description in RNAcentral is "long non-coding RNA (PTRI_LNC000955)". Lineage: Eukaryota; Viridiplantae; Streptophyta; Magnoliopsida; Malpighiales; Salicaceae. The record is from RNAcentral.